RNAcentral lists this ribosomal RNA (207 nucleotides) under uncultured bacterium. RNAcentral describes it as "partial 16S ribosomal RNA". It matches the Rfam family "Bacterial small subunit ribosomal RNA", at positions 568 to 773 of the family's 1533-position model. The record is from RNAcentral.
UCUGUAGGUGGUUUAUGAAGUUCCCUGUCAAAUAUCAGGGCUCAACCUUGAGAAGGCAGUGAAGUACUCAUAGACUAGAGUACGGUAGGGGUAGAGGGAACUCCGCGUGGAGCGGUGAAAUGCGUAGAGAUGCGGAGGAACACCAGAGGCGAAGGCGCUCUACUGGGCCGUUACUGACACUGAGAGACGAAAGCUAAGGCGGUGAAA